GACGAACGCUGGCGGCGUGCUUAACACAUGCAAGUCGAGCGGUAAGGCCCUUUCGGGGGUACACGAGCGGCGAACGGGUGAGUAACACGUGGGUGACCUGCCCUCAGCUCUGGGAUAAGCCUGGGAAACCGGGUCUAAUACUGGAUAUGACUCCAUGACGCAUGUUGUGGGGUGGAAAGCCUUGUGCGGCUGAGGAUGGGCCCGCGGCCUAUCAGCUUGUUGGUGGGGUGANGGGCCUACCAAGGCGACGACGGGUAGCCGGCCUGAGAGGGCGACCGGCCACACUGGGACUGAGACACGGCCCAGACUCCUACGGGAGGCAGGCAGUGGGGAAUCUUGCGCAAUGGGCGAAAGCCUGACGCAGCGACGCCGCGUGAGGGAUGACGGCCU
Molecule: ribosomal RNA, 390 nt
Filed under: uncultured bacterium
Lineage: Bacteria
Description: bacterial SSU rRNA
Rfam family: Bacterial small subunit ribosomal RNA
Source: RNAcentral